Molecule: ribosomal RNA, 354 nt
Filed under: Triticum aestivum (bread wheat)
Lineage: Eukaryota; Viridiplantae; Streptophyta; Magnoliopsida; Poales; Poaceae
Description: partial small subunit ribosomal RNA
Source: RNAcentral
AUGGCAUGUGCUCCGGCGAGUCUCCAUUGCUCGAUGUCGCUCUGGCAGGCCUUUAUUAUACUGAGUGCACUUGGUGUCUUUCCUCUGAAUAUGCAUCUGUUUCUCUCAAGCCAGAUUUGCCAGGCGACCAAUGUCACCAUAGUCUUGAAUCCUCUUCUUUCCCUUGGGGCCGCGGCGUUUAGGAUUGCGGUGGCAGCAUCUGUUGUAGUGUUGCAUGUACUCCAGGAUGCUGGGGAGAGCGCCGCACAGCCCAUCCAAGUGGCUGCCUUAACCCAAACCUCCUUUGAUAUGUUGCAUUUCCAAAUUAGGUGGAAGGAGGACUCAAGGUUGCGGCAGCAGAGCUGGCAGAAGUAG